This 253-nucleotide ribosomal RNA is filed under the name uncultured bacterium. RNAcentral's name for it is "partial 16S ribosomal RNA". It matches the Rfam family "Bacterial small subunit ribosomal RNA", at positions 524 to 776 of the family's 1533-position model. The record is from RNAcentral.
UACAGAGGGGGCAAGCGUUGUUCGGAAUCACCGGGCGUAAAGGGCGCGUAGGCUGUGAGGUAAGUCGGGUGUGAAAUCCCGGGGCUCAACCCCGGAACUGCACUCGAUACUGCUUUACUAGAGGACUGGAGAGGAGAUUGGAAUUCUCGGUGUAGCAGUGAAAUGCGUAGAUAUCGAGAGGAACACCUGUGGCGAAGGCGGCCAACUGGUCCGGUACUGACGCUGAGGUGCGAAAGCGUGGGGAGCAAACAGG